AAUUUGCGUGAGUGAUGGCAGUGGAGCUCUUUUUUCUGUUCAAUUACCUCGGGUCCAAAUCCGGGGUAAUUGAACAGAAAAAAAGCGGAAACGUACAGCACGACCCGAA
Molecule: small RNA, 109 nt
Filed under: Flavobacterium sp. 1
Lineage: Bacteria; Pseudomonadati; Bacteroidota; Flavobacteriia; Flavobacteriales; Flavobacteriaceae
Description: Flavo-1 RNA
Rfam family: Flavo-1 RNA
Source: RNAcentral